This is a long non-coding RNA of Pygocentrus nattereri (red-bellied piranha), 437 nucleotides long. RefSeq lists it as uncharacterized. The transcript is spliced from 4 exons. Lineage: Eukaryota; Metazoa; Chordata; Actinopteri; Characiformes; Serrasalmidae. The record is from RefSeq and is a predicted model, not a curated record.
CACGCGUUAUGACGCAAUGAAAGUGUAUAAAAAUUCGCGCUUCGUGUUAUGACGCUCUCUUGAAGUCGUUGCUUCGCUUGUGGAGAAACGCUUCCAUCAUGAGAGCGAAGUGGAGAAAGAAGCGUAUGCGCAGGCUGAAGCGUAAAAGGAGAAAGAUGAGGCAGAGGUCAAAGUAAACGGCAUCCUGUCUGCUGUAGCUGGGAUCCUGAUCAUCUUGGAUUUCCCUGAGUGAGUCUUGCAGAGUGACCAACUGGAGAGGUGCUGUUCAUCCAUCACCUAAGAAGCUAUCCACACAUGAAGCCAGCCACCACUUUGAAGUGUCCUGUUCCUGGCUGCCCAGUUGGCUCUUUGUCUUGAUGGACUUGCAAAUGUUGGACAUUCCAUACUCGGCUCAGCUUCUUUUGUUAAUACCACCAAUAAAACGUUUUAAAAAUUUA